GGGUGGUUGUAAGGGGGGCAGUGGGUACCUACAGAGGUCUGGGUGGUUGUAAGGGGGGCAGUGGGUACCUACAGAGGUCUGGGUGGUUGUAAGGGGGGCAGUGGGUACCUAAAGAGGUCUGGGUGGUUGUAAGGGGGGCAGUGGGUACCUACAGAGGUCUGGGUGGUUGUAAGGGGGGCAGUGGGUACUUACAGAGGUCCGGGUGGUUGUAAGGGGGGCAGUGGGUACUUACAGAGGUCUGGGUGGUUGUAAGGGGGGCAGUGGGUACUUACAGAGGUCUGGGUGGUUGUAAGGGGGGCAGUGGGUACUUACAGAGGUCUGGGUGGUUGUAAGGGGGGCAGUGGGUACUUACAGAGGUCUAGGUGGUUC
Molecule: long non-coding RNA, 369 nt
Organism: Dicentrarchus labrax (European seabass)
Lineage: Eukaryota; Metazoa; Chordata; Actinopteri; Moronidae
Exons: 4
Source: RefSeq, a predicted model, not a curated record